GACGAACGUUGGCGGCGUGCUUAAUACAUGCAAGUCAACUGAAGCAGUGGUAGCAAUAUCGCUGUGGAGGGGGCGCACGGGGGAGUAACACGUAGGUAAUCUGCCUUCAGGUCUGGCAUAACUCCGGGAAACCGGGGCUAAUAGCAGAUGAUGCAGCGGCGCGACAUCGAGACAGUUGUUAAAUCUAUGGCGUCGGGAGAUGAGCCUGCGUCUGAUUAGCUAGUUGGCGGGGUAACGGCCCACCAAGGCAACGAUCAGUAGCUGGUCUGGGAGGAUGAUCGGCAACACUGGAACUGAGACCCGGUCCAGACUACUACGGGAGGCAGCAGUAAGGACUAUUGCUCAAUGGAAGAAAUACUGAAGCAGCACCGCCGCGUGCGGCACGACGGGCUUUAGCUUGUAAACCUCUGUAGUGAGCGAAAACAAUCCUAAUCUAUGGGACAUGAUGGUAUCUGAAAAGUAAGCCCCGGCUAACUACGUG
Molecule: ribosomal RNA, 481 nt
Filed under: uncultured bacterium
Lineage: Bacteria
Description: partial 16S ribosomal RNA
Rfam family: Bacterial small subunit ribosomal RNA
Source: RNAcentral